Molecule: ribosomal RNA, 406 nt
Filed under: uncultured bacterium
Lineage: Bacteria
Description: partial 16S ribosomal RNA
Rfam family: Bacterial small subunit ribosomal RNA
Source: RNAcentral
AUUGAACGCUGGCGGCAGGCCUAACACAUGCAAGUCGAACGAGUGGCGGACGGGUGAGUAAUGUCUGGGAAACUGCCCGAUGGAGGGGGAUAACUACUGGAAACGGUAGCUAAUACCGCAUACCAUCGGAUGUGCCCAGAUGGGAUUAGCUAGUAGGUGGGGUAACGGCUCACCUAGGCGACGAUCCCUAGCUGGUCUGAGAGGAUGACCAGCCAAACUGUAACUGAGACACGGUCCAGACGCCUACGGGAGGCUGCAGUGGGGAAUAUUGCACAAUGGUCGCAAGCCUGAUGCAGCCAUGCCGCGUGUAGGACGAAGGCCUUCGGGUUGUAAAGUACUUUCAGCGAGGAGGCGUUACUCGCAGAAGAAGCACCGGCUAACUCCGUGCCAGCCGCCGCGGUAAUAC